CUACAACAAGUUCGAGCCCGUUAAUGGGUGAGAGCGUGCCUUUUGUAGAAUGAACCGGCGAGUUACGAUCUGAUGCAAGGUUAAGCAGAAAAUGUGGAGCCGUAGCGAAAGCGAGUCUGAAUAGGGCGCUAUAGUUAGUAGUGGUAGACGCGAAACCGUGUGAUCUACCCAUGAUCAGGUUGAAGCUUCGUUAAACCGAAGUGGAGGACCGAACCAAUAUACGUUGAAAAGUGUUUGGAUGAAUUGUGGGUAGGGGUGAAAGGCCAAUCAAACUCGG
This 277-nucleotide ribosomal RNA is filed under the name Kryptoperidinium foliaceum. Its description in RNAcentral is "partial Bacterial large subunit ribosomal RNA". It matches the Rfam family "Bacterial large subunit ribosomal RNA", at positions 564 to 842 of the family's 2925-position model. The record is from RNAcentral. Lineage: Eukaryota; Dinophyceae; Peridiniales; Kryptoperidiniaceae.